RNAcentral lists this ribosomal RNA (301 nucleotides) under uncultured bacterium. Its description in RNAcentral is "partial 16S ribosomal RNA". It matches the Rfam family "Bacterial small subunit ribosomal RNA", at positions 509 to 808 of the family's 1533-position model. The record is from RNAcentral.
CAGUAGCCGCGGUAAUACGUAGGUCCCGAGCGUUGUCCGGAUUUAUUGGGCGUAAAGCGAGCGCAGGCGGUUAGAUAAGUCUGAAGUUAAAGGCCGUGGCUUAACCAUAGUACGCUUUGGAAACUGUUUAACUUGAGUGCAAGAGGGGAGAGUGGAAUACCAUGUGUAGCGGUGAAAUGCGUAGAUAUAUGGAGGAACACCGGUGGCGAAAGCGGCUCUCUGGCUUGUAACUGACGCUGAGGCUCGAAAGCGUGGGGAGCAAACAGGAUUAGAUACCCGCGUAGUCCCUGUCUCUUAUACA